RNAcentral lists this ribosomal RNA (687 nucleotides) under Enterococcus faecium. Its description in RNAcentral is "bacterial SSU rRNA". It matches the Rfam family "Bacterial small subunit ribosomal RNA", at positions 118 to 790 of the family's 1533-position model. The record is from RNAcentral. Lineage: Bacteria; Bacillati; Bacillota; Bacilli; Lactobacillales; Enterococcaceae.
UGGGUAACCUGCCCAUCAUAAGGGGAUAACACUUGGAAACAGGUGCUAAUACCGUAUAACAAAUCAAAACCGCAUGGUUUUGAUUUGAAAGGCGCUUUCGGGUGUCGCUGAUGGAUGGACCCGCGGUGCAUUAGCUAGUUGGUGAGGUAACGGCUCACCAAGGCCACGAUGCAUAGCCGACCUGAGAGGGUGAUCGGCCACAUUGGGACUGAGACACGGGCCAAACUCCUACAGGAGGCAGCAGUAGGGAAUCUUCGGCAAUGGACGAAAGUCUGACCGAGCAACGCCGCGUGAGUGAAGAAGGUUUUCGGAUCGUAAAACUCUGUUGUUAGAGAAGAACAAGGAUGAGAGUAACUGUUCAUCCCUUGACGGUAUCUAACCAGAAAGCCACGGCUAACUACGUGCCAGCAGCCGCGGUAAUACGUAGGUGGCAAGCGUUGUCCGGAUUUAUUGGGCGUAAAGCGAGCGCAAGCGGUUUCUUAAGUCUGAUGUGAAAGCCCCCGGCUCAACCGGGGAGGGUCAUUGGAAACUGGGAGACUUGAGUGCAGAAGAGGAGAGUGGAAUUCCAUGUGUAGCGGUGAAAUGCGUACAUAUAUGGAGGAACACCAGUGGCGAAGGCGGCUCUCUGGUCUGUAACUGACGCUGAGGCUCGAAAGCGUGUGGAGCAAACAGGAUUAGAUACCCUGG